UCAUAUUAUAAAUAGGGGAAUUCUUUGGCUAAGUGGUUAUCGAGUGCCACUAGGUGUUAUUAAUCAUGUGCACGCUUAUAGAACCUAGUGAGCUAACUUAACUCUUUUGAAGAAAAUGAUUUUGAAAAUGUUAACACACAUGCACACGAUGGAACACACAUAGUGGUGUUGGCACACUUUGAGGAGGUGGAGUUUGAAAGGUAGAGAGGAAUUCAACGCUUUUUGAGAAAACAAAGUGCAUAUUUUCUAUUACGAUGGUGGAAACUUUGGCGAAGUCGUAGGAGUGUUUUUCACUAGAAAAGCACUCACUGGACGCUGACUCUAGUAGCAUCCGAUGCAUGCUGGCUGAGUGCGCGCAAGGAGCAUGCAUCGGAGUGUCUGACACUGUUGAAGCAUCCGGUACUCGCACUGUAGUAGUGGAGUUCCAACGUUGUGUGCGUCGGACGCUGGCAUGCGUCUGAUGCCGCACCGUCGAACACGUCCGACAUAUGUCAGAGAGAUUCUAGAACUCUCUGAGUAGCACCUGACUGUUCAACGCAUGUUAACUCAGCGCUUCAACGUUCAAGUGACCGGUGGAGAACAAUGUGUCAUGUUUAACUAAGGACACAUGGCAACAUCUAGAGUGGAUAUCAGGGGACCGUCGGACGAUAGGGCUACGUCCAA
This 663-nucleotide long non-coding RNA is filed under the name Sorghum bicolor (sorghum). Its description in RNAcentral is "long non-coding RNA (SBIC_LNC004739)". Lineage: Eukaryota; Viridiplantae; Streptophyta; Magnoliopsida; Poales; Poaceae. The record is from RNAcentral.